Long non-coding RNA from Lampris incognitus (smalleye Pacific opah), 569 nucleotides. RefSeq lists it as uncharacterized. The transcript is spliced from 5 exons. The record is from RefSeq and is a predicted model, not a curated record. Lineage: Eukaryota; Metazoa; Chordata; Actinopteri; Lampriformes; Lampridae.
AGCAGGGUGGUCUUUCCGGCGUUGUCCAAUCCCAGCAGCACUAUCCUCAGCUCCUGCUCCGUGGAACCCUUCAGCUUUUGAAUGACUGAGAGGCUGCAGCUACAUUCUCCGGUGAAACUCACAGCUGAGUCCGAGUCAAGACCAAGGCCAGACCGAGACUGUUAAAUGGGCUAGGAGGCCGAGUCUGAGUCAAGACCAAGACCAGACCGAGAUUGUUAAAGGGGCGAGGAGGUAGAGUCCGAGUCAAGACCAAGACCAGGACCAGACCGAGACUGUAAAAGGGACUAGGAGGCUGAGUCUGAGUCAAGACCAAGACCGGAUCGAGACUUUAAAAGGGGCUUUAAAAUGAUAAACUGGCGCAAAAGAAAAGACUAUGCGGCAACCCCACCGUUCAUUCUUCCAGAUCAAAUGGUUUCUAUCAACCGACUAGAACCUCCUUCGGCAUUUAAAAAUGAAGGAAACGAGACCACAAAAAGUACUCUCUCCCAGUUUGCAGUAUUACCAACCAUGACCAUUGAGACAACAGAGAUCUCCAAUGCAGUAAAGUCAACAGGAAAACAUCACACGAC